CAAAGAAUAGUCCAAUUUAUGAUACUAGCUUUGGGAGCUAGAGGUGGGAGUUAAAGCCUCUCUUCUUUGA
This 70-nucleotide transfer RNA is filed under the name Eviota ocellifer (ocellated dwarfgoby). RNAcentral's name for it is "tRNA-Pro". It matches the Rfam family "tRNA". Rfam says of the family: Transfer RNA (tRNA) molecules are approximately 80 nucleotides in length. Their secondary structure includes four short double-helical elements and three loops (D, anti-codon, and T loops). Lineage: Eukaryota; Metazoa; Chordata; Actinopteri; Gobiiformes; Gobiidae. The record is from RNAcentral.